This 253-nucleotide ribosomal RNA is filed under the name uncultured bacterium. RNAcentral describes it as "partial 16S ribosomal RNA". It matches the Rfam family "Bacterial small subunit ribosomal RNA", at positions 524 to 776 of the family's 1533-position model. The record is from RNAcentral.
CACGUAGGGCGCAAGCGUUGUCCGGAAUUAUUGGGCGUAAAGAGCUCGUAGGUGGUUUGUUACGUCUGCUGUGAAAUCCUAGGGCUUAACCCUGGGCUUGCAGUGGAUACGGGCAGACUAGAGUGCGGUAGGGGAGAAUGGAAUUCCCGGUGUAGCGGUGAAAUGCGCAGAUAUCGGGAGGAACACCGGUGGCGAAGGCGGUUCUCUGGGCCUGUACUGACGCUGAGGAGCGAAAGCGUGGGGAGCGAACAGG